AAUUGUGUCUGUUUUUGAUGAUUUUCAUUGACAUGGUUCAUUUGCCCAAUUGAGCUCAAAUUUGACAUGGUAGACCUUGAUGGACCCCUGUUUAGGUGUAAUUAAUUUGAGAAUUUUUUGGAUGUGUUUUUGGCAUGGCUUUGAAUGCAAUACUUCUGUUUGUAUAUUUGAUGCCUCCAUUUGACUUAAUGUGAAUUGUUUUGGGCAUAAUAUGAACAUGAUGGAUGAUAUAAACAUGAGACCAAUGAUGUUUGCUCUUGUUUGAUGAUAAUUUGAUGUUGGAUGGUGGAUGCCUUGCUGUUUUAAAAUUUUCUUGCUUUUGGACCCUAGGCUUGCCUAGUGGUCUAGUUACUAAUAUUUGCUUGAUUUUUCAGGAUCAAAAGCAUCAUGUACAUGGAGAAUG
Molecule: long non-coding RNA, 403 nt
Filed under: Lathyrus oleraceus (garden pea)
Lineage: Eukaryota; Viridiplantae; Streptophyta; Magnoliopsida; Fabales; Fabaceae
Description: Pisum sativum (pea) long non-coding RNA (PSAT_LNC009059)
Source: RNAcentral